UUUCGGCGUGUUAUACGGCAAAGAUGCGAAUCUCUGGCUGACAAUGGACAGUAUGCAAAGGUGGCUGAUGCUGUGUCAUGUGCGCAGUAUUGGUACUGAUCUGCGACGAUCUCUUCGGGCCUCUUUCCGACCCGUCUUGAAACACGGACCAAGGAGUCUAACAUGCGCGCGAGUCGCGGGGUAUCGAGCGUACUACGGUGCGUUCGUUCAUUAUGAAACCCGUAUGUUGAAGGCGUAAUGAAAGUAAAUUGGGAAGAUGGUGUUCCGAGUAUACGUACCGUGAAAUUCGCGGCCGGACAUCCGCAUUCCCGGGGCGUCUCAAUGGCUCAUCGCGAGUGCAGAUUGUCGUCUCUCGGGGYGGCAGUCAGUUUGCGAUGGUCCGAGGCGCACCUAUAGCGUGCACGUUGGUACCCGAAAGAUGGUGAACUAUGCCUGGCCAGGAUGAAGUCAGGGGAAACCCUGAUGGAGGUCCGCAGCGAUUCUGACGUGCAAAUCGAUCGUCUGAGCU
This 508-nucleotide ribosomal RNA is filed under the name Lepidosaphes rubrovittata. RNAcentral describes it as "partial 28S ribosomal RNA". Lineage: Eukaryota; Metazoa; Arthropoda; Insecta; Hemiptera; Diaspididae. The record is from RNAcentral.